CCAAUAGCGUAUAUUAAAGUUGUUGCAGUUAAAAAGCUCGUAGUUGGAUUUCGGGGUUAGUACGCUGGUCGUGCCUUCGGUAUGUACUGGUGUUACUGAUUCCUACCUUCUGAAGAACCGUCAUGUCAUUAAUUUGGUGUGGCGGGGAAUCAGGACUGUUACUUUGAAAAAAUUAGAGUGUUUAAAGCAGGCUCGCGCUUGAAUACAUUAGCAUGGCAUAAUGAAAUAGGACGUUUGAUCCUAUUUUGUUGGUUUCUAGGAUUGACGUAAUGAUUAAUAGGGAUAGUUGGGGGCAUUAGUAUUCAAUUGUCAGAGGUGAAAUUCUUUGAUUUAUUGAAGACUAACUACUGCGAAAGCAUUUGCCAAGGAUGUUUUCAUUAAUCAAGAACGAAAGUUAGGGGAUCGAAGACGAUCGGAUACCGUCGUAGUCUUAACCAUAAACUAUGCCGACUAGGGAUCGGAUGAUGUUAAUUUUUUAAUGACUCAUUCGGCGCCUUACG
RNAcentral lists this ribosomal RNA (500 nucleotides) under uncultured Glomeromycotina. RNAcentral's name for it is "partial small subunit ribosomal RNA". It matches the Rfam family "Eukaryotic small subunit ribosomal RNA", at positions 591 to 1092 of the family's 1831-position model. The record is from RNAcentral. Lineage: Eukaryota; Fungi; Glomeromycota.